CUACGGGGGGCAGCAGUGGGGAAUAUUGCACAAUGGGCGAAAGCCUGAUGCAGCAACGCCGCGUGGAGGAUGACACAUUUCGGUGCGUAAACUCCUUUUAUAUAAGAAGAUAAUGACGGUAUUAUAUGAAUAAGCACCGGCUAACUCCGUGCCAGCAGCCGCGGUAAUACGGGGGGUGCAAGCGUUACUCGGAAUCACUGGGCGUAAAGAGCAUGUAGGCUGGAUGACAAGUUGGAAGUGAAAUCCUAUGGCUUAACCAUAGAACUGCUUCCAAAACUGUCUUCCUAGAGUAUGGGAGAGGUAGAUGGAAUUUCUGGUGUAGGGGUAAAAUCCGUAGAGAUCAGAAGGAAUACCGAUUGCGAAGGCGAUCUACUGGAACAUUACUGACGCUCAGAUGCGAAAGCGUGGGGAGCAAACAGGAUUAGAUACCCUGGUAGUC
RNAcentral lists this ribosomal RNA (439 nucleotides) under uncultured bacterium. RNAcentral's name for it is "partial 16S ribosomal RNA". It matches the Rfam family "Bacterial small subunit ribosomal RNA", at positions 339 to 795 of the family's 1533-position model. The record is from RNAcentral.